Molecule: unclassified non-coding RNA, 356 nt
Filed under: uncultured fungus
Lineage: Eukaryota; Fungi
Description: sequence contains ITS1
Rfam family: 5.8S ribosomal RNA (bases 1-104)
Source: RNAcentral
GAAUCGCGAUAGGAAUUGCGAAUUGCAGAAUUCAGUGAAUCAUCGUAACUUUGAACGCAAACUGCGCUUGGGGGUUGACCCCGAGCAUGCCUUUCUGAGUGUCGGUCAAACCAUUUUUUGGGUUUUCCCAUAAAGUAAUGAGAGUUCUGUAUUGAUCUCUUCAAGAAUGAGUAGCGCCCGUAAGGGUGUGUAACAAGUGACUGACUGCUCCGUCAGCAGCGAGUGGAGAUGAAAAUUUUCACGAGCGACGGUAGUGUCUGACAUGGAAUUGCACUUGCUCUACAGUGACUCUUUCGAGAGACACAAUUGUUCUGACCAUCGACCUCAGAUGAGGUAGGAUUACCCGCUGAACUUAA